This 484-nucleotide ribosomal RNA is filed under the name uncultured bacterium. RNAcentral's name for it is "bacterial SSU rRNA". It matches the Rfam family "Bacterial small subunit ribosomal RNA", at positions 767 to 1272 of the family's 1533-position model. The record is from RNAcentral.
AGCUAAUAGAUACCCAGGUAGUCCACGCCGUAAACUAUGGAUGCUAGCUGUUAGAGGUAUCGACCCCUCUAGUAGCGAAAGCUAACGCGUUAAGCAUCCCGCCUGUGGAGUACGGUCGCAAGACUAAAACAUAAAGGAAUUGACGGGGACCCGCACAAGCGGUGGAGCGUGUUGUUUAAUUCGAUGGUAAGCGAAGAACCUUACCCAGGCUUGACAUCCUUGGAAUUUUGGCGAAAGCCGAGAGUGCCUUCGGGAACCAAGUGACAGGUGUUGCAUGGCCGUCGUCAGCUCGUGUCGUGAGAUGUUUGGUUAAGUCCAUCAACGAGCGCAACCCUUAUAGUUAGUUGAAUUUUCUAGCUAGACUGCCCUGGCAACAGGGAGGAAGGAGGGGAUGAUGUCAGGUCAGUAUUACCCUUACGUCUGGGGCUACAAACACGCUACAAUGGCGGUACAAAGGGCAGCCAAGUCGCGAGACGGAGCAAAU